This 484-nucleotide ribosomal RNA is filed under the name uncultured bacterium. RNAcentral's name for it is "partial 16S ribosomal RNA". It matches the Rfam family "Bacterial small subunit ribosomal RNA", at positions 30 to 507 of the family's 1533-position model. The record is from RNAcentral.
AUUGAACGCUGGCGGCAGGCCUAACACAUGCAAGUCGAGCGGAUGAAGGGAGCUUGCUCCUGGAUUCAGCGGCGGACGGGUGAGUAAUGCCUAGGAAUCUGCCUGGUAGUGGGGGAUAACGUCCGGAAACGGGCGCUAAUACCGCAUACGUCCUGAGGGAGAAAGUGGGGGAUCUUCGGACCUCACGCUAUCAGAUGAGCCUAGGUCGGAUUAGCUAGUUGGUGGGGUAAAGGCCUACCAAGGCGACGAUCCGUAACUGGUCUGAGAGGAUGAUCAGUCACCCUGGAACUGAGACGCGGUCCAGACUCCUACGGGAGGCAGCAGUGGGGAAUAUUGGACAAUGGGCGAAAGCCUGAUCCAGCCAUGCCGCGUGUGUGAAGAAGGUCUUCGGAUUGUAAAGCACUUUAAGUUGGGAGGAAGGGCAGUAAGUUAAUACCUUGCUGUUUUGACGUUACCAACAGAAUAAGCACCGGCUAACUUCGUG